UACAGAGGUCCCAAGCGUUGUUCGGAUUCGCUGGGCGUAAAGGGUGCGUAGGUGGUUAGGUAAGUCCGAUGUGAAAUCUCCAGGCUCAACCUGGAAAUGGCAUUGGAUACUAUUUAGCUUGAGGAGUGGAGGGGGGACUGGAAUUCUCGGUGUAGCAGUGAAAUGCGUAGAUAUCGAGAGGAACACCAGUGGCGAAGGCGAGUCCCUGGACACUUCCUGACACUGAGGCACGAAAGCUAGGGGAGCAAACAGG
This 253-nucleotide ribosomal RNA is filed under the name uncultured bacterium. Its description in RNAcentral is "partial 16S ribosomal RNA". It matches the Rfam family "Bacterial small subunit ribosomal RNA", at positions 524 to 776 of the family's 1533-position model. The record is from RNAcentral.